Molecule: ribosomal RNA, 440 nt
Filed under: uncultured bacterium
Lineage: Bacteria
Description: partial 16S ribosomal RNA
Rfam family: Bacterial small subunit ribosomal RNA
Source: RNAcentral
CCUACGGGAGACAGCAGUGGGGAAUAUUGCACAAUGGGGGAAACCCUGAUGCAGCGACGCCGCGUGAGUGAAGAAGUAUUUCGGUACGUAAAGCUCUAUCAGCAGGGAAGAAAAUGACGGUACCUGACUAAGAAGCCCAGGCUAACUACGUGCCAGCAGCCGCGGUAAUACGUAGGGGGCAAGCGUUAUCCGGAUUUACUGGGUGUAAAGGGAGCGUAGACGGCAGCGCAAGUCUGGAGUGAAAUCCCAUGGCUUAACCAUGGAACUGCUUUGGAAACUGUGCAGCUAGAGUGCAGGAGAGGUAAGCGGAAUUCCUAGUGUAGCGGUGAAAUGCGUAGAUAUUAGGAGGAACACCAGUGGCGAAGGCGGCUUACUGGACUGUAACUGACGUUGAGGCUCGAAAGCGUGGGGAGCAAACAGGAUUAGAUACCCGAGUAGUC